Molecule: ribosomal RNA, 253 nt
Filed under: uncultured bacterium
Lineage: Bacteria
Description: partial 16S ribosomal RNA
Rfam family: Bacterial small subunit ribosomal RNA
Source: RNAcentral
UACGAAGGGUGCAAACGUUGCUCGGAAUUAUUGGGCGUAAAGCGCACGUAGGCGGCAUAGCAAGUCGGAUGUGAAAUCCCUCGGCUCAACCAAGGAAGUGCAUCCGAAACUGCUGUGCUUGAGUACGAAAGAGGAUCGCGGAAUUCCCGGUGUAGAGGUGAAAUUCGUAGAUAUCGGGAGGAACACCAGUGGCGAAGGCGGCGAUUUGGGUCGAUACUGACGCUGAGGUGCGAAAGCGUGGGGAGCAAACAGG